GGUUGUCGUCAGCUCGUGUCGUGAGAUGUUGGGUUAAGUCCCGCAACGAGCGCAACCCUCGACCUUAGUUGCCAGCAUUCAGUUGGGCACUCUAAGGUGACUGCCGGCUAAAAGUCGGAGGAAGGUGGGGAUGACGUCAAAUCAUCAUGCCCCUUAUGACCUGGGCUACACACGUGCUACAAUGGGCGGUACAAAGGGUCGCGAACCCGCGAGGGGGAGCCAAUCCCAAAAAGCCGCUCUCAGUUCGGAUUGCAGGCUGCAACUCGCCUGCAUGAAGCCGGAAUCGCUAGUAAUCGCGGAUCAGCAUGCCGCGGUGAAUACGUUCCCGGGCCUU
This 334-nucleotide ribosomal RNA is filed under the name uncultured Anoxybacillus sp. RNAcentral's name for it is "bacterial SSU rRNA". It matches the Rfam family "Bacterial small subunit ribosomal RNA", at positions 1047 to 1382 of the family's 1533-position model. The record is from RNAcentral. Lineage: Bacteria; Bacillati; Bacillota; Bacilli; Caryophanales; Anoxybacillaceae.